AUUGAACGCUGGCGGCAGGCCUAACACAUGCAAGUCGAGCGGUAGAGAGAAGCUUGCUUCUCUUGAGAGCGGCGGACGGGUGAGUAAUGCCUAGUAAUCUGCCUGGUAGUGGGGGAUAACGUGCGGAAACGGACGCUAAUACCGCAUACGACCUACGGGAGAAAGCAGGGGACCUUCGGGCCUUUCGCUAUCAGAUGAUCCUAGGUUGGAUUAACUAGUUGGUGAGGUAAUGGCUCACCAAGGCGACGAGCCGUAACUGGUCUGAGAGGAUGAUCAGGCAAACUGGAACUGAGACACGGUCCAGACUCCUACGGGAGGCAGCAGUGGGGAAUAUUGGACAAUGGGCGAAAGCCUGAUCCAGCCAUGCCGCGUGUGUGAAGAAGGUCUUCGGAUUGUAAAGCACUUUAAGUUGGGAGGAAGGGUUGUAGAUUAAUACUCUGCAAUUUUGACGUUACCGACAGAAUAAGCACCGGCUAACUCUGUGCCAGCCGCCGCCGUAA
This 500-nucleotide ribosomal RNA is filed under the name uncultured bacterium. Its description in RNAcentral is "partial 16S ribosomal RNA". It matches the Rfam family "Bacterial small subunit ribosomal RNA", at positions 30 to 523 of the family's 1533-position model. The record is from RNAcentral.